Molecule: small RNA, 258 nt
Filed under: Saccharomyces cerevisiae YJM1401
Lineage: Eukaryota; Fungi; Ascomycota; Saccharomycetes; Saccharomycetales; Saccharomycetaceae
Description: RUF23
Source: RNAcentral
GCUAGGCAGAACGCCUAGUUUACACAGUGGGAGAAUGAGGAUAGGCCUCUGCCUACGGUACCUUCGAAUACAGGGAAAGUGGGAAGAGUGAGCUGCCGAAGUGAAAGAGGCUUACGCAUUUUUUCUUUGGGAAGCGGACGCAGGACGAAGCUCAUCAUUUUCGAAAAAAAAAAAGAAAGUUGGAGCUGGAAAGGAAUUGGGUGUUGAAAAAAUGUACGGGUGAACAAAGUCUUAUUUUGUCUUAAAAGGGGUUCCCCC